AUACGGAGGGUGCAAGCGUUACUCGGAAUCACUGGGCGUAAAGCGCAUGCAGGCGGUCUAAUAAGUUGGAAGUGAAAGCCUACGGCUCAACCGUAGAACUGCUUCCAAAACUGUUAGACUAGAGUCUGGGAGGGGAAGAUGGAAUUAGUAGCGUAGGGGUAAAAUCCGUAGAGAUAACUAGGAAUACCAAAAGCGAAGGCAAUCUUCUGGAACACUACUGACGCUGAGGCGCGAAAGCGUGGGGAGCAAACAGGAUUAGAAACCCUAGUAGUCC
Molecule: ribosomal RNA, 274 nt
Filed under: uncultured bacterium
Lineage: Bacteria
Description: partial 16S ribosomal RNA
Rfam family: Bacterial small subunit ribosomal RNA
Source: RNAcentral